RNAcentral lists this unclassified non-coding RNA (369 nucleotides) under Hevea brasiliensis (rubber tree). The record is from RNAcentral. Lineage: Eukaryota; Viridiplantae; Streptophyta; Magnoliopsida; Malpighiales; Euphorbiaceae.
CCUAAACUAAAUCCUCACAGCUCCACCACAUAAGGAACAAAACAUGCUGAUUAAGCAAAAACACAUAACAUUACAAUAGCCCCUUCACUAAAAACUUCAAGCUGCUCUCAACUCAGAGUGGGGCAGUAUAAAAUACAGCCAUGAGGGACUAAUUUGCAUAGAUACUCAUGGGGCAGGCAUGCCAACCUACCACUCUACUCUAUUUCAAACACUGCUGACAUCCUCAAUGGAGAACCAGCUCUUUGACUUAUAAAAUAUACUUACAGUAAAAGCAAUACCAUUAUCAAUUUUUAACUCCCCAACCCCAUUUUAAUUAAUCUUUAAUUAUUAUCCUUUAAUGAGCAUGUCACCCAUUUGAGUCUGACAAUA